UACGGGGGGGGCAAGCGUUGUUCGGAAUUACUGGGCGUAAGGGUUCGUAGGUGGCCAACUAAGUCAUACGUGAAAUCCCUCAGCUUAACUGGGGAACUGCGUCUGAUACUGGUUGGCUUGAGUGCAGGAGAGGAACGCGGAAUUCCAGGUGUAGCGGUGAAAUGCGUAGAUAUCUGGAGGAACACCGGUGGUGAAGGCGGCGUUCUGGACUGCAACUGACACUGAGGAACGAAAGCCAGGGGAGCAAACGGG
RNAcentral lists this ribosomal RNA (252 nucleotides) under uncultured bacterium. RNAcentral describes it as "partial 16S ribosomal RNA". It matches the Rfam family "Bacterial small subunit ribosomal RNA", at positions 524 to 776 of the family's 1533-position model. The record is from RNAcentral.